UACAGAGGUCUCAAGCGCUGUUCGGAUUCAUUGGGCGUAAAGGGCGCGUAGGCGGCAAGGCAAGUCGGGUGUGAAAGCUUGGGGCUUAACCCCGAAAGGGCACUCGAAACUGCGUUGCUAGAGGGCCGGAGAGGAGAUCGGAAUUCACGGUGUAGCAGUGAAAUGCGUAGAGCUCGUGAGGAAGACCGGUGGCGAAGGCGGAUCUCUGGACGGCCCCUGACGCUGAGGCGCGAAGGCUAGGGGAGCAAACGGG
RNAcentral lists this ribosomal RNA (253 nucleotides) under uncultured bacterium. Its description in RNAcentral is "partial 16S ribosomal RNA". It matches the Rfam family "Bacterial small subunit ribosomal RNA", at positions 524 to 776 of the family's 1533-position model. The record is from RNAcentral.